This 437-nucleotide ribosomal RNA is filed under the name uncultured Lachnospiraceae bacterium. RNAcentral describes it as "partial 16S ribosomal RNA". It matches the Rfam family "Bacterial small subunit ribosomal RNA", at positions 341 to 792 of the family's 1533-position model. The record is from RNAcentral. Lineage: Bacteria; Bacillati; Bacillota; Clostridia; Lachnospirales; Lachnospiraceae.
ACGGAAGGCGGCAGUGGGGAAUAUUGCACAAUGGGGGAAACCCUGAUGCAGCGACGCCGCGUGAGUGAAGAAGUAUUUCGGUAUGUAAAGCUCUAUCAGCAGGGAAGAAAACAAUGACGGUACCUGACUAAGAAGCCCCGGCUAACUACGUGCCAGCAGCCGCGGUAAUACGUAGGGGGCAAGCGUUAUCCGGAUUUACUGGGUGUAAAGGGAGCGUAGACGGUGAGGCAAGUCUAAAGUGAAAGCCCGGGGCUCAACCCCGGGACUGCUUUGGAAACUGUCUGACUAGAGUGCAGGAGAGGUAAGUGGAAUGCCUAGUGUAGCGGUGAAAUGCAUAGAUAUUAGGAGGAACACCAGUGGCGAAGGCGGCUUACUGGACUGUAACUGACGUUGAGGCUCGAAAGCGUGGGGAGCAAACAGGAUUAGAUACCCUGGUA